GGGAGCGGAUGGAUACUGGCGUAUUCUGUGGUCUUCAAAACCAUUUCGGGGUGUUUGAACCAUCCUGGGUAGGUUCGAUUCCUACACGCUCCC
This 93-nucleotide transfer RNA is filed under the name Youngiibacter fragilis 232.1. Its description in RNAcentral is "Clostridium sp. 232.1 Selenocysteine transfer RNA". It matches the Rfam family "Selenocysteine transfer RNA". Lineage: Bacteria; Bacillati; Bacillota; Clostridia; Eubacteriales; Clostridiaceae. The record is from Rfam by way of RNAcentral.